Molecule: ribosomal RNA, 497 nt
Filed under: uncultured bacterium
Lineage: Bacteria
Description: partial 16S ribosomal RNA
Rfam family: Bacterial small subunit ribosomal RNA
Source: RNAcentral
GACGAACGCUGGCGGCGUGCCUAAUACAUGCAAGUUGAGCGCUGAAGGUUGGGACUUGUCCCAACUGGAUGAGCAGCGAACGGGUGAGUAACGCGUGGGGAAUCUGCCUUUGAGCGGGGGACAACAUUUGGAAACGAAUGCUAAUACCGCAUAAAAACUUUAAACACAAGUUUUAAGUUUGAAAGAUGCAAUUGCAUCACUCAAAGAUGAUCCCGCGUUGUAUUAGCUAGUUGGUGAGGUAAAGGCUCACCAAGGCGAUGAUACAUAGCCGACCUGAGAGGGUGAUCGGCCACAUUGGGACUGAGACACGGCCCAAACUCCUACGGGAGGCAGCAGUAGGGAAUCUUCGGCAAUGGACGAAAGUCUGACCGAGCAACGCCGCGUGAGUGAAGAAGGUUUUCGGAUCGUAAAAAUCUGUUGGUAGAGAAGAACGUUGGUGAGAGUGGAAAGCUCAUCAAGUGACGGUAACUACCCAGAAAGGGACGGCUAACUACGUG